AACUUUUGCCAACGGAUCUCUUGGCUCUCGCAUCGAUGAAGAACGCAGCGAAAUGCGAUAAGUAAUGUGAAUUGCAGAAUUCAGUGAAUCAUCGAAUCUUUGAACGCACCUUGCACUCCUUGGUAUUCCGAGGAGUAUGCCUGUUUGAGUGUCAUUAAUAUAUCAACCUCUCAAGCUUUUGCUUGUGGAGUGUAUGGAUGUGGGGGAAUUAUUUUGCUGGCCUUUUAAUGAGGUCGGCUCCCCUGAAAUGCAUUGGCAGAAUGAUUUUGCUGACCGUCUAUUGGUGUGAUAACUAUCUACGCUGUUGACGUGAAGCAAGUUCAGCUUAUAAUGGUCCAUUGACUUGGACAACAUAUUUAUUAAUGUGACCUCAAAUCAGGUAGGACUACCCGCUGAACUUAAGCAUAUCAAUAAGCGGAGGCU
RNAcentral lists this unclassified non-coding RNA (423 nucleotides) under uncultured Cortinarius. Its description in RNAcentral is "sequence contains ITS2". The stretch from base 1 to 154 matches the Rfam family "5.8S ribosomal RNA". The record is from RNAcentral. Lineage: Eukaryota; Fungi; Basidiomycota; Agaricomycetes; Agaricales; Cortinariaceae.